GUCUGUUUGGAUCCCCCUUUUCAGCUAAAGCAAAACUCCUGUCUGGUUUAUUCAUUCGGGAUUAAAAACAACUGGUCUUUUGAUGACUAUAUGGUUAAAGCAGGGUGUGAAGUACAUUCAUUCGAUCCCACGAUAGGGCAGGAAGACCACGUCCGCGUGCCAGGAAACAUCUUCCAUAACUUGGGCCUUGAGGGAUGGAACGGUAAAAAAC
Long non-coding RNA from Lingula anatina, 211 nucleotides. The record is from RefSeq and is a predicted model, not a curated record. Lineage: Eukaryota; Metazoa; Brachiopoda; Lingulata; Lingulida; Lingulidae.